RNAcentral lists this ribosomal RNA (906 nucleotides) under Acinetobacter sp. MN10. RNAcentral's name for it is "bacterial SSU rRNA". It matches the Rfam family "Bacterial small subunit ribosomal RNA", at positions 192 to 1074 of the family's 1533-position model. The record is from RNAcentral. Lineage: Bacteria; Pseudomonadati; Pseudomonadota; Gammaproteobacteria; Moraxellales; Moraxellaceae.
CCCUACGGGGGAAAGCAGGGGAUCACUUGUGACCUUGCGUUAAUAGAUGAGCCUAAGUCGGAUUAGCUAGUUGGUGGGGUAAAGGCCUACCAAGGCGACGAUCUGUAGCGGGUCUGAGAGGAUGAUCCGCCACACUGGGACUGAGACACGGCCCAGACUCCUACGGGAGGCAGCAGUGGGGAAUAUUGGACAAUGGGGGGAACCCUGAUCCAGCCAUGCCGCGUGUGUGAAGAAGGCCUUAUGGUUGUAAAGCACUUUAAGUCGAGGAGGAGGCUCUUUUGGUUAAUACCCAAGAUGAGUGGACGUUACUCGCAGAAUAAGCACCGGCUAACUCUGUGCCAGCAGCCGCGGUAAUACAGAGGGUGCGAGCGUUAAUCGGAUUUACUGGGCGUAAAGCGUGCGUAGGCGGCUUUUUAAGUCGGAUGUGAAAUCCCCGAGCUUAACUUGGGAAUUGCAUUCGAUACUGGGAAGCUAGAGUAUGGGAGAGGAUGGUAGAAUUCCAGGUGUAGCGGUGAAAUGCGUAGAGAUCUGGAGGAAUACCGAUGGCGAAGGCAGCCAUCUGGCCUAAUACUGACGCUGAGGUACGAAAGCAUGGGGAGCAAACAGGAUUAGAUACCCUGGUAGUCCAUGCCGUAAACGAUGUGCUACUAGCCGUUGGGGUCUUUGAGACUUUAGUGGCGCAGCUAACGCGAUAAGUAGACCGCCUGGGGAGUACGGUCGCAAGACUAAAACUCAAAUGAAUUGACGGGGGCCCGCACAAGCGGUGGAGCAUGUGGUUUAAUUCGAUGCAACGCGAAGAACCUUACCUGGUCUUGACAUAGUAAGAACUUUCCAGAGAUGGAUUGGUGCCUUCGGGAACUUACAUACAGGUGCUGCAUGGCUGUCGUCAGCUCGUGUCGUGAGAUG